GAUGAACGCUGGCGGCGUGCCUAAUACAUGCAAGUCGAGCGAAUGGAUUAAGAGCUUGCUCUUAUGAAGUUAGCGGCGGACGGGUGAGUAACACGUGGGUAACCUGCCCAUAAGACUGGGAUAACUCCGGGAAACCGGGGCUAAUACCGGAUAACAUUUUGAACCGCAUGGUUCGAGAUUGAAAGGCGGCUUCGGCUGUCACUUAUGGAUGGACCCGCGUCGCAUUAGCUAGUUGGUGAGGUAACGGCUCACCAAGGCAACGAUGCGUAGCCGACCUGGGAGGGUGAUCGGCCACACUGGGACUGAGACACGGCCCAGAAUCCUACGGGAGGCAGCAGUAGGGAAGCUUCCGCAAUGGACGAAAGUCUGACGGAGCAACCCCGCGUGAGUGAUGAAGGCUUUCGGGUCGUAAAACUCUGUUGUUAGGGAAGAACAAGUGCUAGUUGAAUAAGCUGGCACCUUGACGGUACCUAACCAGAAAGCCACGGCUAACUACGUGCCAGCCGCCGCAGUAA
RNAcentral lists this ribosomal RNA (515 nucleotides) under uncultured bacterium. Its description in RNAcentral is "partial 16S ribosomal RNA". It matches the Rfam family "Bacterial small subunit ribosomal RNA", at positions 28 to 523 of the family's 1533-position model. The record is from RNAcentral.